RNAcentral lists this ribosomal RNA (271 nucleotides) under uncultured bacterium. Its description in RNAcentral is "partial small subunit ribosomal RNA". It matches the Rfam family "Bacterial small subunit ribosomal RNA", at positions 26 to 285 of the family's 1533-position model. The record is from RNAcentral.
AGAAUCAACGCUGGCGGCGUGCCUAACACAUGCAAGUCGAACGCGAAAGUCCCGCAAGGGAUCAGUAGAGUGGCAAACGGGUGAGUAACACGUGGGUGACCUGCCUUCGAGUGGGGAUAACGUCCCGAAAGGGACGCUAAUACCGCAUGACAUCCUGCCUUUGAACAGGCGGAGAUCAAAGCUGGGGAUCGCAAGACCUGGCGCUCAAAGAGGGGCCCGCGCCUGAUUAGCUAGUUGGUGGGGUAAUGGCUCACCAAGGCAACGAUCAGUA